GAGAAGAGAUAUGUCCAUAAUAUGUAAUGAUACUGAAAUCAGAGCACAGCUGCGAUCUCCAAAAUGUCAGCAUCCAUUCAUGUAACAAGAAUUAUCGAAGAAACUGGCUGUUGCUCUCAUAUGUUUCUUACCAAACCCUUGCAUCCUGGAAAAUCUUCAAGAAGGAUUUUUUUUCCCCCUUUUUUCAGGAUGCAUCCUAAGUUUUAUUGACUGGGUUUCACUCUUCUCGCUCAAAACUCAACAGAUAC
Molecule: unclassified non-coding RNA, 248 nt
Filed under: Hevea brasiliensis (rubber tree)
Lineage: Eukaryota; Viridiplantae; Streptophyta; Magnoliopsida; Malpighiales; Euphorbiaceae
Source: RNAcentral